AUGGACGGCGGCGGAGGCAUGGGGCCCGUCGGCGGCGGGGUGGGAGGCAUGGUGGGACCCGUCGGCGUCGGCGGCGGGGGCGGCGGGAGCGACGUGGAGCUCGUCAGCAAAACGCUGCAGUUCGAGCACAAGCUCUUCUACUUCGAUCUGAAGGAGAACCCGCGGGGGAGGUACCUCAAGAUCUCCGAGAAGACGUCCACCACGCGCUCCACCAUCAUCGUGCCCAUCGCCGGCGUCGCCUGGUUCCUCGACCUCUUCGACUAUUACAUCCGCACCGACGAGCGCGACGUCUUCAGCAAGGAGCUACGCCUCGACACUAAGGUGUUCUACUUCGAUAUUGGGGAGAACAAGAGAGGCCGCUACCUUAAGGUUUCGGAGGCAUCUGUCAAUAGAAACCGUAGCACGAUAAUUGUUCCGGCUGGUAGCUCUGGCGAAGAAGGUUGGGAAGCAUUUAGGAAUGUACUGUUAGAAAUCAAUGACGAAGCUUCCCGACUCUAUGUUCUUCCAAAUCAUCCAAGUCAGCAACACCUGGAACCUCCAGAGCGCCUUCCUGGCCUUUCUGACGAUGUUGGUGCUGGAUUUAUAGCUGGGCAUGGCAGCCAAUCUGCAUCUGUACCCGAGGUAGACGUUGAUGGGCCUCCUAUUGAAGAAUUUAGUGGCAUGGGGCUGUCUAAGGUGAUAAGGGCAGAUCAGAAAAGGUUUUUCUUUGACCUGGGCAGCAACAACAGGGGCCAUUAUUUGAGGAUUUCCGAGGUCGCUGGAGCUGAUCGUUCGUCGAUAAUCUUGCCACUUUCUGGUUUGAAGCAGUUCCAUGAGAUGGUGGGACACUUUGUAGAUAUAAUGAAGGACAGACUUGAAGGAAUGACGGGCGCGAACGUGCGCACUGUCGAGCCCAGCCAGAGAUGA
This 906-nucleotide ribosomal RNA is filed under the name Triticum aestivum (bread wheat). RNAcentral's name for it is "partial small subunit ribosomal RNA". Lineage: Eukaryota; Viridiplantae; Streptophyta; Magnoliopsida; Poales; Poaceae. The record is from RNAcentral.